AUUGAACGCUGGUGGCAUGCUUAACACAUGCAAGUCGAACGGUACAGGACUAGCUUGCUAGUUGCUGACGAGUGGCGGACGGGUGAGUAACGCGUAGGAAUCUGCCCAUCUGAGGGGGAUACCAGUUGGAAACGACUGUUAAUACCGCAUAGUAUCUGUGGAUUAAAGGUGGCUUUUGGGCUGUCGCAGAUGGAUGAGCCUGCGUUGGAUUAGCUAGUUGGUGGGGUAAGGGCCUACCAAGGCUACGAUCCAUAGCUGAUUUGAGAGAAUGAUCAGCCACAUUGGGACUGAGACACGGCCCAAACUCCUACGGGAGGCAGCAGUGAGGAAUAUUGGACAAUGGGGGCAACCCUGAUCCAGCAAUGCCAUGUGUGUGAAGAAGGCCUUAGGGUUGUAAAGCACUUUAGUUGGGGAAGAAAGCUUUGAGGUUAAUAGCCUUGAGGAAAAGGACGUUACCCAAAGAAUAAGCACCGGCUAACUCC
Molecule: ribosomal RNA, 482 nt
Filed under: Francisella-like endosymbiont
Lineage: Bacteria; Pseudomonadati; Pseudomonadota; Gammaproteobacteria; Thiotrichales; Francisellaceae
Description: bacterial SSU rRNA
Rfam family: Bacterial small subunit ribosomal RNA
Source: RNAcentral